AAUAAGAUGCCUGAAACAAAGGAUUAUUUUGAUAGAAUAAAUUAUGUAAAAUUUUUUACUCUUAUUG
This 67-nucleotide transfer RNA is filed under the name Mileewa lamellata. RNAcentral describes it as "tRNA-Ile". The record is from RNAcentral. Lineage: Eukaryota; Metazoa; Arthropoda; Insecta; Hemiptera; Cicadellidae.